UAAAAGGGUGACCGCAAAUGGCCUGUAA
This 28-nucleotide non-coding RNA is filed under the name Bombyx mori (domestic silkworm). Lineage: Eukaryota; Metazoa; Arthropoda; Insecta; Lepidoptera; Bombycidae. The record is from RNAcentral.